RNAcentral lists this transfer RNA (75 nucleotides) under Candidatus Woesearchaeota archaeon. RNAcentral describes it as "tRNA-Pro". It matches the Rfam family "tRNA". From Rfam's summary of the family: Transfer RNA (tRNA) molecules are approximately 80 nucleotides in length. Their secondary structure includes four short double-helical elements and three loops (D, anti-codon, and T loops). Further hydrogen bonds mediate the characteristic L-shaped molecular structure. tRNAs have two regions of fundamental functional importance: the anti-codon, which is responsible for specific mRNA codon recognition, and the 3' end, to which the tRNAs corresponding amino acid is attached (by aminoacyl-tRNA synthetases). tRNAs cope with the degeneracy of the genetic code in two manners: having more than one tRNA (with a specific anti-codon) for a particular amino acid; and 'wobble' base-pairing, i.e. permitting non-standard base-pairing at the 3rd anti-codon position. Lineage: Archaea; Nanobdellati; Candidatus Woesearchaeota. The record is from RNAcentral.
GGGGCUGUAGUGUAGCUUGGUCUAUCAUCUGUGGUUUGGGACCAUAGGACUCCAGUUCGAAUCUGGACAGCCCCA